CGCCGAAGGUGGGGCUAAUGACUGGGGUGAAGUCGUAACAAGGUAGCCGUACCGGAAGGUGCGGCUGGAUCACCUCCUAACAGGGAGACAACAACUGAUCGUGAUGUCUGAGUUAUUUAAUACUUAGGCCAUGAUCCUGUCACCUUAGGUCGAUCGGUACCUCUGAUUGAUACUUAAAUAGAAGCUGAUUAAAUCGGUUUAGAUAUGAGUGUUGAUUUCAGUUCCUAAACUUGUCUAGGUCACACCCAACAAGGGUACUCCUGGGCCAUUAGCUCAGGUGGUUAGAGCGCACCCCUGAUAAGGGUGAGGUCCCUGGUUCAAGUCCAGGAUGGCCCAUUCGGUGUUGGGGGUUUAGCUCAGUUGGUAGAGCGCCUGCUUUGCAAGCAGGAUGUCAGCGGUUCGAGUCCGCUAACCUCCACUGAUCUACCUCCUGUGAAUAAGCAAUGGAGGAAGUCUUGUUGAUGUGAUUUAGAUUAUUUUGCUGACUAGACCCUAGCUUCCUAUCAUCCAAAAUUUCAAAUGCUUUUUGUGGAUUUUGUUGAUAAGACGCUGGGCUCACUGUGGUUCACAAGAACUACAGAGAUGUUUGGCAGAACCUUGACAACUGCAUAGGUGAGUCUGGAAAGAAUAAAGCAUCUCAUGGAUGCAUUAUUCUUCUAAAUUAGUUUAGGUUGGCUGUGAACUCAAUUAACCUGAAUUGAUUUAUUAGAAUAGUGCUUAAUUCUUGAGUCAAGAGCUGAGACUCUAUAGCUACUUUUCUUACUACAGUAAGAAAAGUAAUAUCUAAAUCCAGCUAAAUUUUAAAUAACUUGAAUCGGUCAAACUGAUACUGGUUAUUAUUAACUUGUCGGAUGAAGGUUGAUUAAAUCAAAUUAAGAUUUAAUUACACGCUAUAGAGAUUAAUGGUCAAGCUACAAAGGGCUCACGG
RNAcentral lists this unclassified non-coding RNA (928 nucleotides) under uncultured Prochlorococcus sp. RNAcentral describes it as "partial may contain 16S ribosomal RNA, 16S-23S ribosomal RNA intergenic spacer, and 23S ribosomal RNA". The stretch from base 346 to 418 matches the Rfam family "tRNA". Lineage: Bacteria; Bacillati; Cyanobacteriota; Cyanophyceae; Synechococcales; Prochlorococcaceae. The record is from RNAcentral.